RNAcentral lists this ribosomal RNA (497 nucleotides) under uncultured bacterium. Its description in RNAcentral is "partial 16S ribosomal RNA". It matches the Rfam family "Bacterial small subunit ribosomal RNA", at positions 28 to 507 of the family's 1533-position model. The record is from RNAcentral.
GAUGAACGCUGGCGGCGUGCCUAAUACAUGCAAGUCGAGCGAACAGACGAGGAGCUUGCUCCUCUGACGUUAGCGGCGGACGGGUGAGUAACACGUGGAUAACCUACCUAUAAGACUGGGAUAACUUCGGGAAACCGGAGCUAAUACCGGAUAAUAUAUUGAACCGCAUGGUUCAAUAGUGAAAGACGGUUUUGCUGUCACUUAUAGAUGGAUCCGCGCCGCAUUAGCUAGUUGGUAAGGUAACGGCUUACCAAGGCGACGAUGCGUAGCCGACCUGAGAGGGUGAUCGGCCACACUGGAACUGAGACACGGUCCAGACUCCUACGGGAGGCAGCAGUAGGGAAUCUUCCGCAAUGGGCGAAAGCUUGACGGAGCAACGCCGCGUGAGUGAUGAAGGUCUUCGGAUCGUAAAACUCUGUUAUUAGAGAAGAACAAAUGUGUAAGUAACUAUGCACGUCUUGACGGUACCUAAUCAGAAAGCCACGGCUAACUACGUG